RNAcentral lists this ribosomal RNA (253 nucleotides) under uncultured bacterium. RNAcentral describes it as "partial 16S ribosomal RNA". It matches the Rfam family "Bacterial small subunit ribosomal RNA", at positions 524 to 776 of the family's 1533-position model. The record is from RNAcentral.
UACGUAGGGGGCUAGCGUUGUCCGGAAUCAUUGGGCGUAAAGCGUGCGCAGGCGGUUCGUUGUGUCGGCGGUGAAAGCCCCGGGCUCAACCUGGGAAUGGCCGUUGAAACUGGCGAACUGGAGUGUGGCAGAGGGGGGUGGAAUUCCGCGUGUAGCAGUGAAAUGCGUAGAGAUGCGGAGGAACACCGAUGGCGAAGGCAGCCCCCUGGGCUGACACUGACGCUCAGGCACGAAAGCGUGGGGAGCAAACAGG